UUGUCCGGAUUUACUGGGUGUAAAGGGUGCGUAGGCGGCUUUGCAAGUCAGAUGUGAAAUCUAUGGGCUCAACCCAUAAACUGCAUUUGAAACUGUAGAGCUUGAGUGAAGUAGAGGCAGGCGGAAUUCCCCGUGUAGCGGUGAAAUGCGUAGAGAUGGGGAGGAACACCAGUGGCGAAGGCGGCCUGCUGGGCUUUAACUGACGCUGAGGCACGAAAGCGUGGGUAGCAAACAGGAUUAGAUACCCUGGUAGUCCACGCUGUAAACGAUGAUUACUAGGUGUGGGGGG
RNAcentral lists this ribosomal RNA (289 nucleotides) under uncultured bacterium. RNAcentral's name for it is "partial 16S ribosomal RNA". It matches the Rfam family "Bacterial small subunit ribosomal RNA", at positions 541 to 829 of the family's 1533-position model. The record is from RNAcentral.